Long non-coding RNA from Mauremys reevesii (Reeves's turtle), 412 nucleotides. RefSeq lists it as uncharacterized. The record is from RefSeq and is a predicted model, not a curated record. NCBI's taxonomy places the organism in Eukaryota, Metazoa, Chordata, Testudines, Geoemydidae. The transcript is spliced from 2 exons.
GAAGGCUGGCAGGCUAAACCCAUAAGACUGGAAGAAAAUGUUCAGAUGAAGGGAGCUGGCAAAGCCUUGCAGCUGAUCAUUCCAAGGCAAGAGGCCAGAAACACAAACCUCAGCUCCAGGAAGAGGGCUAAGGAGGAAUUGCCAUUUGGAGUAGGGAAAUAUUGACUGUCCUAAAGAUGAGAGACAGAGGAAUAAAUCAAACCACAGCCUAGCUACUGUGGAGAGGGAGGAGAGGUCUUUGUAGAUGGCUAAGAAGAGGCUGUAAAACCACAGAUCCAGCUAAAGGGAAACUCGCUUUCCAGCAGAAGCUCACUUCAUCUCUGCAAAUCACUUUCAUAACAUGGAAAGAUUUCAGAUAGUUAGAUUCCAAAAAAAUAAUACUCUAUAAAUAAAUAUCCUCAUAAAAUUGCAA